Molecule: ribosomal RNA, 250 nt
Filed under: uncultured bacterium
Lineage: Bacteria
Description: partial 16S ribosomal RNA
Rfam family: Bacterial small subunit ribosomal RNA
Source: RNAcentral
UACGUAGGGGGCGAGCGUUGUCCGAAUUUACUGGGCGUAAAGCGCGUGUAGGCGGUUCCUUAAGUCAGGUGUGAAAUCCUGGGGCUCAACCCCAGAACUGCACCUGAAACUGAGGGGCUUGAGUUUGGGAGAGGAGAGUGGAAUUCCUGGUGUAGCGGUGAAAUGCGUAGAUAUCAGGAGGAACACCCGUGGCGAAGGCGGCUCUCUGGCCCAACACUGACGCUGAGACGCGAAAGCUAGGGGAGCGAAC